AAAAAUCUAUCUAAAAAUGGAGAAAUGCUUUGCUUCGAUGAUUUUCCUGGCUUCUUUUCUUCUUCUUGUCCUUUUAAACCUUGAACUCGUUCAUGCCGUCGGGUGUGCCGGAAGCUUAUUCAACAGUAACAGCACCUACGCUCAGAACCGUAACAAUCUCUUCUCUACUCUUGCUUCAAAAGUCGUUGCCAACGGUGGACUCUACAACGAUUCACUCGGCCAAAAUCCCAACAGAGUUCAAGCUCUUGUCUUCUGUGCAAGAGGCGUUGAGAAAGCUUGUAUUAGUUGUGUCCAAAAAGUGAUUUAGGAUAUACAAAAAGAGUGUCCAUAUCACAUGGAUUCGUUCCAGUGGGACAAAGACGAUGUAGACGACCGUGUUUCUUGUCUUGUACGUUCCUCAAACCAAGCAGCUUUCAAGAAACUCGAGCUUCGACCUGCUGACAUUCACCCAAAUCCAAACAGUAUCGAACCAUCCAAGAACAUGAUAAUUAAAAAAUAAUAUAAGUUGAAAGUCUCAUUUAAUAAGUAUCAAAAUAUAUGUAUCAUUUUAAAUUAAACUAUAUACCAUAUAAAAAUACAUAAAUAUCUUAAUUUUGAAAUUUAUUUUGAACAUUUUUUAAUAAAAAAAUUGAAAAAAUAUUGACAAUUUAAUUUUUUAAUAUAUUAUAAAUUACUUAAACCAUUAAUCCCCCAGAACGCAAGGCGCGGAUUUUAACCUAGUUGCUCAGUAUUUGGAAGUAACCCAAUACUUUUCUCAUCUCACGUAUAUAAAUAUGAUAAAUUUUUUAGGAUAUACUUUUUAAGUUUUUGUUACAAAAAUAAUUUUCAGUGAAAAAAAUGACUAAAAAAGUUUUAUUAAAAGGUAAAAGUACAUUUUUACCCUAGGAUUAACUAAUAUAGACUUAGGGUUUAGAGUUAAAGGGUGAACUUUUGCGUAUAAGGUUUCAAAUUUUAAAAAAUUAAAAAUAAAUAUUAAAAAAUUUAAAAUAAAAAAUGGUUAUUUUGGUCAUUUUCGUUUUUGAAGACUAUAUUUAUAAUAAAAAAAAAACUAUCCGAGAGAAUUGUCCUAUAAAUAGUGUACAUAACUAAGCGGUACAAAUAAAAAAAAAAAUCUAUCUAAAAAUGGAGAAAUGCUUUGCUUCGAUGAUUUUCCUGGCUUCUUUUCUUCUUCUUGUCCUUUUAAACCUUGAACUCGUUCAUGCCGUCGGGUGUGCCGGAAGCUUAUUCAACAGUAACAGCACCUACGCUCAGAACCGUAACAAUCUCUUCUCUACUCUUGCUUCAAAAGUCGUUGCCAACGGUGGACUCUACAACGAUUCACUCGGCCAAAAUCCCAACAGAGUUCAAGCUCUUGUCUUCUGUGCAA
This 1366-nucleotide long non-coding RNA is filed under the name Brassica napus (rape). Its description in RNAcentral is "long non-coding RNA (BNAP_LNC004190)". Lineage: Eukaryota; Viridiplantae; Streptophyta; Magnoliopsida; Brassicales; Brassicaceae. The record is from RNAcentral.